Non-coding RNA from Monodelphis domestica (gray short-tailed opossum), 1600 nucleotides. The record is from RefSeq and is a predicted model, not a curated record. NCBI's taxonomy places the organism in Eukaryota, Metazoa, Chordata, Mammalia, Didelphimorphia, Didelphidae.
UUGUACAAAAUAGUUUUUAAUAUUUGCCUAAUUUCCUCUUCAUUAGAGUUGUGGUCUCCCUUUUCAUUUUUGAAACUAUUAAUUUGGUUUUCUUCUUUCCUUUUUAAAAUUAGAAACACUUCCGGGUAAACACGGCUGCAAUCUAGACUCGACUCACUUCCCCUCCCCAGCACCAAACGAAAUAGACUACCUCAAAAGAGCAUAAAAAUCACCUUUGGAAGAACGGAGGACUCUCCAGUACCCCACAGAAACGAAGAUAAGAAGGGGACCUUUGAAAGGGCAAGUGUUCUGGAAGGUGUGGAACCUCAUCUUCCCAUACAUUGGGAGCCACAGACAGAUGGAAGCAGAUUCACCAUACUUAACAAGAACUUCUUGAAUAUACCACAAAUGCAAGAAAAGGGCUCCAGCUAGCUUCUGAAAAAGUACCAGGCUGAAGAGUGUGUGAAACUGAUCACCUCGCUGGGGGAGGGGCCCCCCAAGGAAUUGGAAUCUUGAGGAGGAGAAGAUUCUGGCUGGGAGAAGAAUUGGUCUCUCAGUCAGGAGAAGCCAAAGAGACAAGGUUGAAAAAGACUUUCUGCUGAGAGUUACUCACUUUUCCUGCUUGUGACUGGAAAUCCUUCCCCCUAAUAUUUCCAAAUUGAAAAAGACUACUGAAGAAGAAACCUGAAAAAAGACAUUUUAAAUCUCUGUCCAACUUUACUUCAGCUCCUGUUGCCCUAAGUCUGAACUGUGGCCAAGGGGCCAAAUGCAAGGUGAGUUGACCUGACUUUUUCUCAGGGGGCUCAGGCUGCCAAGGCUUGAGUUCCCCCCAAACACAAGGAGGGAGGGAAAAGGGUUUUAGAUAGAGACAGGGACCCCUUUUCCUCACUUUACUCUCCCAUUCUUUCCCUGCUAGUUAUUCCUUUGUAUUACCUUGAUUGAGUUGACAUUAAAAUAGUUAACUUUUCCCCAAGUUGUGUGUGAGUGAACAGAUCAAGGGGAGACCCUUUGGUCUCUGGUAGUGGAGGGGGAACAAGAGGGACAAGAGUGAAUCUGGGAGAGCAGCCUUAGCUAAGGAGGGAAGACAGAAGAGGGAAAAUCUUCAAAUCCCCUCUUUUCUCUCUGAGCCAAGCCUAAAUAAACAUCAGCUAUCUCUCCUGAACCCCACUUUGAGGGGGGGGUCUCUACUCUUCACCUUUCUAUACUGAAAUACCGAACCCCUCUAAUACAAAUUAACCUCCCCUUAUAAUUCACAUGUGAACCGGAACGACCUCCUGGAUUUGAUGCAGAGUGAAAGGAUCAGAACCAGGCAAACAUUGUCCACAGAGAUCAAUACAUUAUGGCAAAAUCAAAUGUAAUAAACGUUUCUACCAGUAGCAAUGGAAUGACCCAGGACAAUCCAGAGGAACUUAUGACAAUGAAUGCUAUUGUCAUCCAGAGAAAAAGCUGUGGAACCAGAAAUGCAAUAGAAAAAUAUAUGAUUGAUCAGGCAGUGCAAUAGGGAUAUGAUUAAGGUUUUGAUGUUAAAGAUCACUCUACUCCAAAUAGGAAUAACACAGAAAUAGGUUUUGAACAAUGAUACAUGUAUAACCCAUUGGAACUGCUUUUUGGCUUUGGGAAA